CGCUGGCGGCAGGCCUAACACAUGCAAGUCGAACGGAUCCUUCGGGAUUAGUGGCGGACGGGUGAGUAACACGUGGGAACGUGCCCUUUGGUUCGGAACAACUCAGGGAAACUUGAGCUAAUACCGGAUAAGCCUUUCGAGGGAAAGAUUUAUCGCCAUUGGAGCGGCCCGCGUAGGAUUAGCUAGUUGGUGGGGUAAAGGCCCACCAAGGCUACGAUCCUUAGCUGGUCUGAGAGGAUGAUCAGCCACAUUGGGACUGAGACACGGCCCAAACUCCUACGGGAGGCAGCAGUGGGGAAUAUUGGACAAUGGGCGAAAGCCUGAUCCAGCAAUGCCGCGUGAGUGAUGAAGGCCUUAGGGUUGUAAAGCUCUUUUACCAGGGAUGAUAAUGACAGUACCUGGAGAAUAAGCUCCGGCUAACUCCGUGCCAGCAGCCGCGGUAAUACGGAGGGAGCUAGCGUUGUUCGGAAUUACUGGGCGUAAAGCGCGCGUAGGCGGUUACUCAAGUCAGAGGUGAAAGCCCGGGGCUCAACCCCGGAACUGCCUUUGAAACUAGGUAACUAGAAUCUUGGAGAGGUCAGUGGAAUUCCGAGUGUAGAGGUGAAAUUCGUAGAUAUUCGGAAGAACACCAGUGGCGAAAGCGACUGACUGGACAAGUAUUGACGCUGAGUACGAAAGCGUGGGGAGCAAACAGGAUUAGAUACCCUGGUAGUCCACGCCGUAAACGAUGAUAACUAGCUGUCCGGCACUUGUGCCUGGGUGGCGCAGCUAACGCAUUAAGUUAUCCGCCUGGGAGUACGGUC
RNAcentral lists this ribosomal RNA (803 nucleotides) under uncultured bacterium. RNAcentral's name for it is "bacterial SSU rRNA". It matches the Rfam family "Bacterial small subunit ribosomal RNA", at positions 34 to 887 of the family's 1533-position model. The record is from RNAcentral.